AUUGAACGCUGGCGGCAGGCCUAACACAUGCAAGUCGAGCGGAUGAAGGGAGCUUGCUCCUGGAUUCAGCGGCGGACGGGUGAGUAAUGCCUAGGAAUCUGCCUGGUAGUGGGGGCUAACGUCCGGAAACGGGCGCUAAUACCGCAUACGUCCUGAGGGAGAAAGUGGGGGAUCUUCGGACCUCACGCUAUCAGAUGAGCCUAGGUCGGAUUAGCUAGUUGGUGGGGUAAAGGCCUACCAAGGCGACGAUCCGUAACUGGUCUGAGAGGAUGAUCAGUCACACUGGAACUGAGACACGGUCCAGUCUCCUACGGGAGGCAGCAGUGGGGAAUAUUGGACAAAGGGCGAAAGCCUGAUCCAGCCAUGCCGCGUGUGUGAAGAAGGUCUUCGGAUUGUAAAGCACUUUAAGUUGGGAGGAAGGGCAGUAAGUUAAUACCUUGCUGUUUUGACGUUACCAACAGAAUAAGCACCGGCUAACUUCGUG
RNAcentral lists this ribosomal RNA (484 nucleotides) under uncultured bacterium. Its description in RNAcentral is "partial 16S ribosomal RNA". It matches the Rfam family "Bacterial small subunit ribosomal RNA", at positions 30 to 507 of the family's 1533-position model. The record is from RNAcentral.